Molecule: unclassified non-coding RNA, 427 nt
Filed under: Hevea brasiliensis (rubber tree)
Lineage: Eukaryota; Viridiplantae; Streptophyta; Magnoliopsida; Malpighiales; Euphorbiaceae
Source: RNAcentral
AGUGGAAAGUAUGAUUCAGCAUUCAAACGAGUUGAGAAGUAUAUAGAGGCAAGAAAGGAAUCAGACCGAAAAUUUGAUACCCAAUAUCAGCGUAAAAUUGCUGAAGCACUAGAUAAUCACUUAACUGCAAUCCAGCGAGAUCAUGAACUCAAAUCACAAAUAGAAGAAAGGAGAAUAAGAAGUGAUGCAGCUCAUGAAGAGGCUAAGAGAAAGGAAAAGGCUUUGCAAGAAGAAAGAAUACGUCAAGAGAGAGCUAAAGCAGAGGCAGAGGCUAAACAUAAAGCUGAGGAAGCAAAAAUGGUUGCUCUAGAAGCAGAGAGGAAAACAGUGCAGGAAGCUGCCCGGAAGGAAGCUGCUGAAGCAUCAAAAAGGGUAGCUGCUUUAGUCCCACAAGGAGAUGCUGCCAGACAACAAGUAAAUGUUAGUU